RNAcentral lists this long non-coding RNA (791 nucleotides) under Zonotrichia albicollis (white-throated sparrow). RNAcentral describes it as "lncRNA (ENSZALG00000001157.1)". The record is from RNAcentral. Lineage: Eukaryota; Metazoa; Chordata; Aves; Passeriformes; Passerellidae.
CUCCAGGUUUCAAAUGGGUCCUUGACUCAGUUUUGUGGCUGUGGGAGCAGUCAUGACGUCAGACCUGGGAACUGUGAUGUCACUGAGGAAUAAUCACACAUAAUUGGAGAAGACAGCAGGAAAAAGGAAGUAAACAAAUGUGUUUAUCCACAAACCCUCCUACCACGAGGAACUGGAAUCUCCAAUGGUAAUUUACCACACGUUGCUAAUGUGUUUGUUAUAAUGAACUUCUUAAUUCUUUUUUCCUUUGAUUCUGGCUGCACAGGAAGGUUCAUCAGGGCUGGAACAAGCAGGGGAAGCAGAUUGGGAUGAGCAUUACGGAUCUGCCGUGCUCUGGUUUAUGGUUUGUUCCCAGCAAUACACACUUGCUGCAGCCAGUGCUGUGUCCCAGACCUGAUGUACCUGGAAAAGGGUUUAGCUCAGCUGAUGAAGAAAUCCCAGCCUUUUAGCAGGAAUGUCACCAGCAGCAGCUGACAGGUAACUGUCCUGUGACCUGGAGUGAUCUGGAAUAUUUUAGUUGUUAUUUUGCAUUUUGCAGUCACAUCAUGGCCAGCCUGAGGGUGUGGGGUUUGGUGGGGGCCUGUUUGGACAGAGAAAAAAAGGGAGGAAAAGCAGAGGAAAAGACUGAAGUGCUGGAAAGGAGCAGGAAAAAACAGGCAUGAAAAGGAAAUGGAUGGAAUGACAGUGAAUGGCAAAGAAAAAAAAAAAAAAGAAAGAAAAUGUAUGAAGGGAAAGGUAUGAAAAGAAAGCUGAGGGAGAAGCAGAGAUGAGGAGGAGGAGGAAGAGCUGUC